RNAcentral lists this long non-coding RNA (1902 nucleotides) under Cyanistes caeruleus (blue tit). RNAcentral describes it as "lncRNA (ENSCCEG00000022406.1)". Lineage: Eukaryota; Metazoa; Chordata; Aves; Passeriformes; Paridae. The record is from RNAcentral.
GCGCCGCCUCAGCCCUCAGCCCUCAGCCUCCGCCCUCAGCCCUCAGCCUCCGCCCUCAGCCUCCGUCCCCGGCCCUCAGCCUGCGUUCCCGGCCCUCAGCCUCCGCCCUCAACUCUCAGCCUCCGUCCUCAGCUCUCAGCCUCCGUCCCCCGCCCCGCUUCCCUCGCCGGGAGCCCCGGCCCCGCCAAAGCCCAGCCCCGGCCGUGUGGAAGUCUUCUCUGGAGGCAGCUCUGCUCUCUGGUGGAGUUUGAGGCCAGAAGAUGGAACUCCCUGGCUGCCACCCACCUGCAGCAGCAGCUACAGCUGGGAUCAGCUGUUAUAUAAAUGUCUCUGUAUUAUACUGGAAAUUGAACACUGACAGCGUAGGAGAGACAUGUGAAGAGGAGGAGGAGGAAGAAUUGUUCCAGCAGUGGUGGAUGUAUGUUUGGAUGGUGCAGGUGCCCACUUCAUUCACUGCAUCCCUUCAGCACCAAGAGUUCAACCCAGUGCUGGCUAAUUCCAGGGCCUGAAACUGUAUCUACAUGCAAAUCUCAUCCUUUGGAAUCAACUUUCCUUUGUGUCCUGAAGCACUGUGGAAAUGGCAGUGGAUAUUACAUGGGAUGGCCCUCACAUGCUCAGCUCCAUUAGCUUGGACAAUUCAAGGGGAUCUCAGCUGGGUUUCCUGGCCAGGUUACAUAGGUCUCCUGGAAGGCAAGUGGUGCUGCUGGAGGAAAAACCAAUCGGUUCAGAGGUCUGGGCCAGUUCUCCAAGUGCUCUACUGCCUCCUUUGUUUCCAACUGUUCUAUUUCCCAAGAAAACAAACAUCUCCACUACAACUUCCAAGUAGAAUGUGGAAAAAGAACAGACUCAUUUUGUUCCAAAUAUCUACCAUAAUAAGGAACAUUACCACAAAGAUGCUUCCAAACCACGGUCUUCAAGGUAUCAAAGUUAGAAUUGCAGAAACAUCAAAGAAUGAACUCCAAUUUACAGAUCUGCCAAUACAGGCAGCCAGCAGCAUUAUGAUUGAUGUAAUUUAUUGUAAGAUUACAUGGGGGAAGCUCAACACAAAUGAUUUCUGCAGCACUUGUUACUUAUAGAUUUCACAAGCAGUAACAUUAAGAAUAAUGACCAUCUAAUAUACUUCUCUGCAAACCACAGAUAAUACAUUUCUUCAGUUAUUGGUUAAACCUGUGAAUUGGUAGCUCAUAUUGAGAUAGUUGCUGUUGACAAUUCUUUAGGUCCUUUCAUCAGAGAUUACACUGUUUAAUUUUGCCAUCACACACCUUGUAUUUGACUGUUUAGAAGAGCUCUUCGAGUUCAGUUUACCAAGCAAACUUUGUAGUUAUUGUUCACUCUUUUCCAUUCUAUCCAUCCUUAUUCUUUUGGAAACAUUAUCAGCUUUAAUUGUAUAUUUGCUAUUAUUAAAAGAAUACAUUGUAUCAUGGGCUGAGAAUCAGUCUCUAGGUAGCUUUUCACCCUAAGUUAUUGGUAAUGACUUACUAAGAAGUGUAGUAUCAAGGAAGUAUUUUCCAGUUUGAUGUUGCCCUGUAGCUGCUGGGUAUUCCUGUCUCUUAGAAUCAGCAACUUGUGUGGUAUCAAGUUCAAAGCUUAAAACAUGCUCAGAAAUAUGUUAGCAAUUUCUGCUGUUCUGUUAGUGGGAGUAUUUGAUCUGACAAGACUUAUGUUCUCCCAAAAGCUGUUGAGUACUAUAAAAGAGAAUUAAUCCUGUAAGAGUAAUUAAUAAUCUUUAAUCAGAUAUUGUAUGAUUUUCCCUGAAAUCAAUAUUCAGGUGGAUGACUCAGAGCAGUAUGACUCACACUAUUUACUCUUUUGAAAUAUUGACAAAACAAUUUGUUUUAGGGGAAGUAUAUAAUUUUUCUGAAAUUGAAUAAACAUGAAAAAAUGGUAUCUCGAGACCUGUCU